GUGUAGCAAUACUCUCUUAGUGGCGAAUGGGUGCGUAACACGUGGGUGACCUACCCCGAAGUGUGGAAUAACAGUUCGAAAGAACUGCUAAUACCGCAUGUGGUCCCGGGUUCUAGAAAGCCGGGUCUAAAGUCCCCCUUUGGGGAGACGCUUCGGGAGGGGCCUGCGGUCCAUCAGCUAGUUGGUAGGGUAAUGGCCUACCAAGGCAACGACGGAUAGGGGACCUGAGAGGGUGACCCCCCACACUGGCACUGAAACACGGGCCAGACGCCUACGGGUGGCAGCAGUAAGGAAUAUUGCACAAUGGGCGAAAGCCUGAUGCAGCAACGCCGCGUGCGCGAUGAAGGCCUUCGGGUCGUAAAGCGCUUUUAGGGAGGAUGAGGAAGGACAGUACUCCCAGAAUAAGGUACGGCUAACUACGUGCCAGCAGCCGCGGUAAAACGUAGGUACCGAGCGUUAUCCGGAUUCACUGGGCGUAAAGCGCGUGCAGGUGGUUUGGUAAGUCGGGCAUGAAAACUCUCGGCUCAACUGAGAGAAGCUGUCCGAUACUGCCAGACUUGAGGGUGUGAGAGGGAGGUGGAAUUCCGCGUGUAGUGGUGAAAUGCGUAGAUAUGCGGAGGAACACCAGUGGCGAAGGCGGCCUCCUGGCACACUCCUGACACUCAGACGCGAAAGCUAGGGGAGCGAACGGGAUUAGAAACCCCGGUAGUCCUAGCCGUAAACGAUGAUUACUAGGUGUGAGUGGUAUCAAGCCCACUCGUGCCGAAGCCAACGCGAUAAGUAAUCCGCCUGGGGACUACGAUCGCAAGAUUAAAACUCAAAGGAAUUGACGGGGGCCCGCACAAGCAGCGGAGCGUGUGGUUUAAUUCGAGGCUACGCGAAGAACCUUACCCAGGUUUGACAUGUAGGUAGUAGGGAAGUGAAAGCGGACCGAUCCUUCGGGAAGCCUACACAGGUGAUGCAUGGCUGUCGUCAGCUCGUGCCGUGAGGUGUUGGGGUUAAGUCCCGCAACGAGCGCAAUGACGUCCAAGUCCCGAUGGGCCCUUACGCCUAGGGGUUACACCCUUGCUUACAAUGGGUGGCACAAACCGGGUUGCUAAACCCUAAAGGGGGGAGCCAAUCCCCUCAAAAGGCACCCCCAGUUUCGGGAUUGGGAGUCUGGCACCCCGCCUCCCUCGAAAAUUGGGAAUUCCCC
RNAcentral lists this ribosomal RNA (1195 nucleotides) under uncultured bacterium. RNAcentral's name for it is "bacterial SSU rRNA". It matches the Rfam family "Bacterial small subunit ribosomal RNA", at positions 74 to 1337 of the family's 1533-position model. The record is from RNAcentral.